This 253-nucleotide unclassified non-coding RNA is filed under the name uncultured Planctomycetales bacterium. RNAcentral's name for it is "contains 16S-23S intergenic spacer region". It matches the Rfam family "Bacterial small subunit ribosomal RNA", at positions 524 to 776 of the family's 1533-position model. Lineage: Bacteria; Pseudomonadati; Planctomycetota; Planctomycetia; Planctomycetales. The record is from RNAcentral.
CACGUACUGUGCGAACGUUAUUCGGAAUCACUGGGCUUAAAGGGUGCGUAGGCGGCUUUUCAAGUCAGGUGUGAAAUCCCACGGCUCAACCGUGGAACUGCGCUUGAAACUGAUUAGCUUGAGUGAGACAGGGGUGUGUGGAACUUCUAGUGGAGCGGUGAAAUGUGUUGAUAUUAGAAGGAACACCGGUGGCGAAAGCGACACACUGGGUCUUAACUGACGCUGAGGCACGAAAGCCAGGGUAGCGAACGGG